This 465-nucleotide ribosomal RNA is filed under the name uncultured bacterium. Its description in RNAcentral is "partial 16S ribosomal RNA". It matches the Rfam family "Bacterial small subunit ribosomal RNA", at positions 338 to 795 of the family's 1533-position model. The record is from RNAcentral.
CCUACGGGAGGCUGCAGUGGGGAAUAUUGCGCAAUGGGCGAAAGCCUGACGCAGCGACGCCGCGUGAGGGAUGAAGGUCUUCGGAUCGUAAACCUCUGUCGGCAGGGAAGAACGGUCACUGUGCUAAUCAGCAGUGAAUUGACGGUACCUGCAAAGGAAGCACCGGCUAACUCCGUGCCAGCAGCCGCGGUAAUACGGAGGGUGGGAGCGUUAAUCGGAAUUACUGGGCGUAAAGCGCUCGUAGGCGGUAUGUCAAGUCAAGGGUGAAAUCCCCGCGCUCAACGUGGGAACUGCCUUUGAAACUGGCAAACUGGAGUGUGUGCGAGGAUAGUGGAAUUCCAGGUGUAGGAGUGAAAGCCGUAGAUAUCUGGAGGAACAUCAGUGGCGAAGGCGACUAUCUGGCACAUAACUGACGCUGAGGAGCGAAAGCGUGGGUAGCAAACAGGAUUAGAUACCCUAGUAGUC